GAUGAACGCUGGCGGCGUGCCUAAUACAUGCAAGUCGAGCGAACGGACGAGAAGCUUGCUCCUCUGACGUUAGCGGCGGACGGGUGAGUAACACGUGGAUAACCUACCUAUAAGACUGGGAUAACUUCGGGAAACCGGAGCUAAUACCGGAUCAUAUAUUGAACCGCAUGGUUCAAUAGUGAAAGACGGUUUUGCUGUCACUUAUAGAUGGAUCCGCGCCGCAUUAGCUAGUUGGUAAGGUAACGGCUUACCAAGGCGACGAUGCGUAGCCGACCUGAGAGGGUGAUCGGCCACACUGGAACUGAGACACGGUCCAGACUCCUACGGGAGGCAGCAGUAGGGAAUCUUCCGCAAUGGGCGAAAGCCUGACGGAGCAACGCCGCGUGAGUGAUGAAGGUCUUCGGAUCGUAAAACCCUGUUAUUAGGGAAGAACAAAUGUGUAAGUAACUAUGCACGUCUUGACGGUACCUAAUCAGAAAGCCACGGCUAACUACGUG
This 497-nucleotide ribosomal RNA is filed under the name uncultured bacterium. Its description in RNAcentral is "partial 16S ribosomal RNA". It matches the Rfam family "Bacterial small subunit ribosomal RNA", at positions 28 to 507 of the family's 1533-position model. The record is from RNAcentral.